GAGAGUAUAGCUCAAGUGGUAGAGCACAUGCUUAGCAUGCACAAGGUCCUGGGUUCAAUCCCCAGUACCUCCU
Molecule: transfer RNA, 73 nt
Filed under: Camelus bactrianus (Bactrian camel)
Lineage: Eukaryota; Metazoa; Chordata; Mammalia; Artiodactyla; Camelidae
Also listed under: 3 other names
Rfam family: tRNA
About the family: Transfer RNA (tRNA) molecules are approximately 80 nucleotides in length. Their secondary structure includes four short double-helical elements and three loops (D, anti-codon, and T loops).
Source: Rfam by way of RNAcentral